RNAcentral lists this ribosomal RNA (553 nucleotides) under Papiliotrema flavescens. RNAcentral's name for it is "LSU rRNA". It matches the Rfam family "Eukaryotic large subunit ribosomal RNA", at positions 121 to 663 of the family's 3401-position model. Lineage: Eukaryota; Fungi; Basidiomycota; Tremellomycetes; Tremellales; Rhynchogastremaceae. The record is from RNAcentral.
UCUGGCGUGCUCAGUGCGUCCGAGUUGUAAUCUAUAGAGGCGUUUUCCGUGCCGGACUGGGUCCAAGUCCCUUGGAACAGGGUAUCAAAGAGGGUGAUAAUCCCGUACUUGACACAAUGACCGGUGCUCUGUGAUACGUCUUCUACGAGUCGAGUUGUUUGGGAAUGCAGCUCAAAAUGGGUGGUGAGUUCCAUCUAAAGCUAAAUAUUGGCGAGAGACCGAUAGCGAACAAGUACCGUGAGGGAAAGAUGAAAAGCACUUUGGAAAGAGAGUUAAACAGUACGUGAAAUUGUUAAAAGGGAAACGAUUGAAGUCAGUCGUGACUGAGAGGCUCAGCCGGUUCUGCCGGUGUAUUCCCCUCAGUCGGGUCAACAUCAGUUUUGUUCGGUGGAUAAGGGCAGUUGGAAGGUGGCACCCUCGGGUGUGUUAUAGCCAGCUGUCGCAUACAUCGGAUGAGACUGAGGAAUGCAGCUCGCCUUUAUGGCCGGGGUUCGCCCACGUUCGAGCUUAGGAUGUUGACAUAAUGGCUUUAAACGACCCGUCUUGAAACACG